GCUUACGGCCACACCUCCCUGAGCACUGCCCGAAUCUCGUCUGUCUCGGAAGCUAAGCAGGGUCGGGCCCGGUUAGUACUUGUAUGGGAGACCGCCUUGGAAUCAGGUGCUGUAAGCC
RNAcentral lists this ribosomal RNA (118 nucleotides) under Esox lucius (northern pike). Lineage: Eukaryota; Metazoa; Chordata; Actinopteri; Esociformes; Esocidae. The record is from RNAcentral.